GGGCCCGCACAAGCAGUGGAGCAUGUGGUUUAAUUCGAUGCAACGCGAAGAACCUUACCAGGCCUUGACAUCCUCGGAACUUUCUAGAGAUAGAUUGGUGCCUUCGGGAACCGAGUGACAGGUGCUGCAUGGCUGUCGUCAGCUCGUGUCGUGAGAUGUUGGGUUAAGUCCCGUAACGAGCGCAACCCCUGUUGUUAGUUGCCAUCGAGUCAUGUCGGGAACUCUAACAAGACUGCCGGUGCAAACCGUGAGGAAGGUGGGGAUGACGUCAAAUCAUCACGGCCCUUACGUCCUGGGCUACACACGUGCUACAAUGGCCGGUACAGAGAGCAGCCACUACGCGAGUAGGCGCGAAUCCAUAAAACCGAUCUCAGUUCGGAUUGGAGUCUGCAACUCGACUCCAUGAAGUUGGAAUCGCUAG
RNAcentral lists this ribosomal RNA (421 nucleotides) under uncultured bacterium. RNAcentral's name for it is "bacterial SSU rRNA". It matches the Rfam family "Bacterial small subunit ribosomal RNA", at positions 917 to 1338 of the family's 1533-position model. The record is from RNAcentral.